This 253-nucleotide ribosomal RNA is filed under the name uncultured bacterium. Its description in RNAcentral is "partial 16S ribosomal RNA". It matches the Rfam family "Bacterial small subunit ribosomal RNA", at positions 524 to 776 of the family's 1533-position model. The record is from RNAcentral.
UACGGAGGGGGCUAGCGUUGCUCGGAAUUACUGGGCGUAAAGCGCACGUAGGCGGCUUUGUAAGUUAGAGGUGAAAGCCCAGGGCUCAACCCUGGAAUUGCCUUUAAGACUGCAUCGCUUGAACAUCGGAGAGGUAAGUGGAAUUCCGAGUGUAGAGGUGAAAUUCGUAGAUAUUCGGAAGAACACCAGUGGCGAAGGCGACUUACUGGACGAUUGUUGACGCUGAGGUGCGAAAGCGUGGGGAGCAAACAGG